GCACUGCUGAGGUGUGCAAUACUAGGACGAAACGGCCGUCCAGCAC
This is a non-coding RNA of Schistosoma mansoni, 46 nucleotides long. The record is from Rfam. NCBI's taxonomy places the organism in Eukaryota, Metazoa, Platyhelminthes, Trematoda, Strigeidida, Schistosomatidae.